AUCCAGGACUUUGGGACAUUUGAUCCAAGAUAUAAUUGACCAAAAUGUAAACUGUCUAAAAAGCUUACUGCUUUUUCUUAUUAUGGUCCAGUUUUCUUUCUUAGAAACAUUUAUCUUCUCUGAACAUACACACAGUUUUCCAGCAUUAGAUCCCAGUUUUCAGUUCCAAAGAUCUGGACUGGCCCACAGCCAUAGUGGGUAUUCCCACAGUUAGCAUUAUCCUUGCUUAUUGUUUAGAGAUAUUUUCAAUCCUUAAUCCUUUCCUAAAUCCAUUGCCAUGGGGUAUUCCCAUUAUGAUGCCAAAUCACCUAAGGCAGGGUCUGCCACUGAAGAAAAGUGAGCGGUGUUAUGCUGUAAAGUUGGCAAGAGGCUGGAAGCUGCAGAACAGGGGCCAGAAAGAGUGUCUUGGCUUGGGAUGGGUUUGGAGAGGAAGCUGAGAGCUCCCUGAUUCAUCGAGAACCAAUGUGCCACUGAUAUGCCAAUCAGCCAUGAUGAGCAUCUUUUAGGGGUGGCAUCUUCCACUCCCUGUUGUGUUGCUGUUGGCAUGUUUAGAGGAAGAUAAAUGCAGUCUUUACCCUUGAAAUGCCGAUGGCCCUUGCCAUAGAGCAUAUAACAAACAAAUCCCAAAACUCUGACUUUGAACUAAGUUGGAUUAUGGUUCUUGGUUCAAUAAUACAGUGGUUUAUGUUUCUAGGUCUUUUCACAUACUAGUUGAAAGUUAGAUCUGCAUUCUAAUAUAAGAACUGAACUAUGUCUUUCUGUUUCUUUAUUUUCUGAGCAUAGUUAUUGUGACUACACUGUAUUGACUUUACUUAUAUACAACCAGCAAAAAUACCUUAGUUAACUUUAAACAUGUAAGCUGAAAUAGCAGAGCAGUACAGCUGGAGAGACAGCCCACACUGUGUUCGCAGGGGCUCAGUUAGUGUCACACCUAUAGGUUCAUGGUGUUUGAGAUAUUCCAAGUGUCUGAGAUACCUAUGGCUUCACAGAUAUGAUUCAGAGCCCAUGACAGAUCUGUGUCUGCUGGAAUAGCAACUGGAGGCCAGGCAGGGUACUCUGGAACAUCUCAGGAGUCUCUAGGUGCCAAGGUGUCGGGACGUGAAUUUUGCUCUGUGGCUUGAACUCAUGUGACUGUAGGAGAAAUCCUGGAAUAUGCCAGAAUUUGUCUGGCUGACAUCAUCUUCCUUGGCUCCCAUCAGCUUAGGAUGCCUACAGAAAGGCUCAGUUUCCAGACCUAAAGGAGAUCCAGUCAGAUGGAGCAUGCAGAGACAAGACAGGCACUGAGAACCCCAGAUGCUGGCCUUGGAUUUUGAUGUAUUGGAAUGUCUUCUCAUUUCUCAGCCUAGAUUCCCAUUACAGAGCUACAAAAUGUACCGUCCCUGAAGUUAUUUGGGUAAAUGUUUUUUGUUUGUUUUGUCUUGUUUCUUCAUGGGAAGAGGAUGGCCUUUGUGGAGAUUCAAUACACUCAGGAAACUGAAGAAGCAUGGAAUCUGAACCAUGAAUACCUGGGCAUUGUCUUCUUUUUUAUUUUAUUUUAUUUUUUUUUUUCUCUUAUGGAAUAUAAACGGCAAUAUUUUCAAGAGGGAGGGGAGAAAAGGGAGAGCAAAUUUUUGUCACUAAGUCAAUCAAAAAAUGUAUUUGUCACUUCUAUACCUUUCUCUCCCUUCCUCUCUUCCUUCCAAAACAACUGGACCUUUCUUUUUGUGUUUAUUGCAUUUGUAAAAAAAACAUCUGUAAGAGAGUAAGGGAGAAAAGAAACUAGAACAACUGUGUAAAUCUCAUAAGUGCAAGGAAUACUCUUGGCCUUUGGUGAAAAGUGGCAAAAAUAGAAUAUCCAUCAAUCAGCAACAAAUGCAAAAUUGUUCAUAUGUUUCUCAGCUUUGGAAAACACCACCUUUAAUAUGCGUGAUGUAAAAGGAAAAACAAAACAACAACAACAACAACAAAAAACAAAGAUGUAUGAAAUGUAUGCUAAAAUGGAUCCCUUCUCUGUUCUCCACAAGGAUAUCUUCCCAUUUCAACAGUCUGGCUUAUGAAAUGAGUAAAAUGUCUUUCCCAAUACAAACUGGAAAUUGUUCUGAUAUACAUGUCUCAGUCCUGCAGCCCUGUAGCUUCGUGCAUUAAAAUAUGGGAUUCUUUGUCUCCUG
Anas platyrhynchos (mallard) is the source of this 2147-nucleotide non-coding RNA. The record is from RefSeq and is a predicted model, not a curated record. Lineage: Eukaryota; Metazoa; Chordata; Aves; Anseriformes; Anatidae.